This 76-nucleotide transfer RNA is filed under the name Holosporales bacterium. RNAcentral describes it as "tRNA-Trp". It matches the Rfam family "tRNA". From Rfam's summary of the family: Transfer RNA (tRNA) molecules are approximately 80 nucleotides in length. Their secondary structure includes four short double-helical elements and three loops (D, anti-codon, and T loops). Further hydrogen bonds mediate the characteristic L-shaped molecular structure. tRNAs have two regions of fundamental functional importance: the anti-codon, which is responsible for specific mRNA codon recognition, and the 3' end, to which the tRNAs corresponding amino acid is attached (by aminoacyl-tRNA synthetases). tRNAs cope with the degeneracy of the genetic code in two manners: having more than one tRNA (with a specific anti-codon) for a particular amino acid; and 'wobble' base-pairing, i.e. permitting non-standard base-pairing at the 3rd anti-codon position. The record is from RNAcentral. Lineage: Bacteria; Pseudomonadati; Pseudomonadota; Alphaproteobacteria; Holosporales.
AGGAGUGUAGCUCAAUUGGUAGAGUAUCGGUCUCCAAAACCGACGGUUGGGGGUUCGAAACCCUCCACUCCUGCCA